AUACGUAGGGGGCAAGCGUUGUCCGGAAUCACUGGGCGUAAAGGGCGCGUAGGCGGUUUGUUAAGUCAGGUGUGAAAGUUUUCAGCUCAACUGGAAAAGUGCACUUGAAACUAACUUACUUGAGUACUGGAGAGGUAAGCGGAAUUCCUAGUGUAGCGGUGAAAUGCGUAGAUAUUAGGAAGAACACCGGUGGCGAAGGCGGCUUACUGGACAGAGACUGACGCUGAGGCGCGAAAGCGGUGGGGAGC
This 248-nucleotide ribosomal RNA is filed under the name uncultured bacterium. RNAcentral's name for it is "partial 16S ribosomal RNA". It matches the Rfam family "Bacterial small subunit ribosomal RNA", at positions 523 to 769 of the family's 1533-position model. The record is from RNAcentral.